GUCUACGGCCAUGCAACCCUGAACGUACCUGAUCUUGUCAGAUCUUGGAAACUAAGCAGGGUCGGGCCUGGUUAGUACUUAAAUGGGAGACCACCUAGGAACAACAGGUGCAGUAGGCG
This 119-nucleotide ribosomal RNA is filed under the name Pteropus alecto (black flying fox). Lineage: Eukaryota; Metazoa; Chordata; Mammalia; Chiroptera; Pteropodidae. The record is from RNAcentral.